This 282-nucleotide signal recognition particle RNA is filed under the name Carlito syrichta (Philippine tarsier). RNAcentral describes it as "Metazoan signal recognition particle RNA (ENSTSYG00000028996.1)". It matches the Rfam family "Metazoan signal recognition particle RNA". From Rfam's summary of the family: The signal recognition particle (SRP) is a universally conserved ribonucleoprotein. It is involved in the co-translational targeting of proteins to membranes. The eukaryotic SRP consists of a 300-nucleotide 7S RNA and six proteins: SRPs 72, 68, 54, 19, 14, and 9. The record is from RNAcentral. Lineage: Eukaryota; Metazoa; Chordata; Mammalia; Primates; Tarsiidae.
GCCAGGCACGGUGGCAUGUGCCUGGAGUCCCAGUGACCAGGGAAGCUAAGGCUGUGGAGGUUCACUUGAAGCCAGGAGUUCCGGGUUGCUAUGCCAAGUGGGUGUCCACACUAAGUUUGGCAUCAAUAUGGUGACCUCCUGGGAACGGGGAACCACCAGGUUGCCUAAGGAGGAGGCAGGUCAGAAAUGGAGCAGGUCAAAACUCCCAUGAUCAGUAGUGGGACGACGCCUGUGAAUAGCCACUGCACUCCAGUCUGGGCAACAUAGAGAGACCCUGUCUCA